This 76-nucleotide transfer RNA is filed under the name Candidatus Doudnabacteria bacterium RIFCSPHIGHO2_01_FULL_46_14. Its description in RNAcentral is "tRNA-Lys". It matches the Rfam family "tRNA". From Rfam's summary of the family: Transfer RNA (tRNA) molecules are approximately 80 nucleotides in length. Their secondary structure includes four short double-helical elements and three loops (D, anti-codon, and T loops). Lineage: Bacteria; Candidatus Doudnaibacteriota. The record is from RNAcentral.
GGGUCGGUAGCUCAGUUGGUAGAGCAGGGGACUCUUAAUCCCAAGGUCGUGGGUUCGAUCCCCACCCGACCCACCA